GCACUGCUGAGGAGUCCCACAAUAGGACGAAACGGCCGUCC
Molecule: non-coding RNA, 41 nt
Filed under: Schistosoma mattheei
Lineage: Eukaryota; Metazoa; Platyhelminthes; Trematoda; Strigeidida; Schistosomatidae
Source: RNAcentral